CUUGACUGUACAAAGGUAGCAUAAUCAUUAGUUUUUUAAUUGAAAGCUGGAAUGAAUGGCUGAAUAAGGAAAUAACUGUCUCAUUUAAAAUUAGUUAGAAUUUUAUUUUUGAGUUAAAAAGUUCAAAUUUUAUAGAAAGACGAGAAGACCCUAUAGAGUUUAAUAGGUUUAAUUUUUUUUUAUUUAAGGGUUUAAUUUUAAUUGAAGGUUUACUUAUUUUGUUGGGGUGACAAUUGAAUUUGAUGAACUUCUUAUAAUUAAAUCAUUGAUUUAUGAACAUAUGAUCCUGAUUUUUGGAUUUAAAGAUAAAAUUACCUUAGGGAUAACAGCGUAAUUUUUUUGGAGAGUUCUUAUCGAUAAGAAAGAUUGCGACCUCGAUGUUGGAUUAAAGUUUAAUUUUGGUGGAGAAGCUAGAAUAUUAAGACUGUUCGAC
This 433-nucleotide ribosomal RNA is filed under the name Zoltanzonitis natala. RNAcentral describes it as "partial large subunit ribosomal RNA". Lineage: Eukaryota; Metazoa; Arthropoda; Insecta; Coleoptera; Meloidae. The record is from RNAcentral.